CCUGUGGCUUCCUGCACAUCUGCUCGCGUGGCUGGGGUCACUCUGCGCGGGCACUGCCGCUUUCGUCUGCAUCUGGACAACUGGGUA
Molecule: non-coding RNA, 87 nt
Organism: Equus caballus (horse)
Lineage: Eukaryota; Metazoa; Chordata; Mammalia; Perissodactyla; Equidae
Source: Rfam